CACGUAGGGCGCGAGCGUUGUCCGGAAUUAUUGGGCGUAAAGAGCUCGUAGGCGGCCUGUUGCGUCCGCUGUGAAAGCCCGGGGCUUAACCCCGGGUCGGCAGUGGAUACGGGCAGGCUAGAGGUAGGUAGGGGAGAAUGGAAUUCCCGGUGUAGCGGUGAAAUGCGCAGAUAUCGGGAGGAACACCGGUGGCGAAGGCGGUUCUCUGGGCCUUACCUGACGCUGAGGAGCGAAAGCGUGGGGAGCGAACGGG
This 253-nucleotide ribosomal RNA is filed under the name uncultured bacterium. Its description in RNAcentral is "partial 16S ribosomal RNA". It matches the Rfam family "Bacterial small subunit ribosomal RNA", at positions 524 to 776 of the family's 1533-position model. The record is from RNAcentral.